Solenopsis invicta (red fire ant) is the source of this 2315-nucleotide long non-coding RNA. RefSeq lists it as uncharacterized. The transcript is spliced from 5 exons. The record is from RefSeq and is a predicted model, not a curated record. NCBI's taxonomy places the organism in Eukaryota, Metazoa, Arthropoda, Insecta, Hymenoptera, Formicidae.
AAAAUGAUCCAAAUUUAAAAACUACAGGUUUUUAGGACAAAGAAGAUGAAUAAAACCUAAGGCUUCUUAAGUUUAUUCUUUUUCUUUUCCUUAAUCAACGGUGAAAAAUUUUAGUCAUGAAUAUCCAAAUUUUUGCUCUGAAACCAGCUGUAAGGAAUAAAAUAACAAAAAAUUUGGCAUUUAGUAGCUUGAGCAGCAAAAUUGACUAUAUUUUGCUGGCAAAUAAUUUUGACGACUAACUAGAUUUGAAUAAACUUUUGCAUGAAUAUUUAUUAAACUCUUAUAAUUUAGUUGUGACGUUGCAAUCCACUACAACAAAGCAACGUUUCGCCACCGUCACAGAGCGCGGGUUUGCGCUCGCACUGAACUGGGGAUCGAGGACCAUAAAUAUAGAUGGAUCCUCAGAGCAGUCUCCAGAAGAGAGCUGCGUUCGCGUUUUGUUAUUUUCUUUAUUAAUUCUUUAUUUAAUUUUUAUAUGUAAAAUAAAUUGCAGGUACAAUCGCCGCAUUGAGCAACGCCAGCAAAGGAGCAAGCGGCAAGCAGCAGACGGCGGGGAGUGGAAGCAAAUUUGUGGAAGAAGUUUCGAGCCAAACAACGGUAGAUCUUUGCACAGAGACCCCAAAGAGUCGCUAGAAAGAGAGACUGUUGGCAAAAAUAGCCGGAGUAAUUUCGACCCCGUCAAGCUUCAAAAGAAAGAAAGACCAGUUUCCUUCGACCUUGCCAAUAUCCUGGCUACUGUAACUUCCUCUCCGUUCCGGAGAGAAGGCUAUAGAAGCCAGAAUAUUGGCGAGGUCGGAGGAAACUGGCGAAGGAUUUUUCCCUCCGGAAAACCGGCCAUCGGGAUCCUGAAGACACCCUCAAGUGGCAGUCCAAAUUACGCGCGUGCCGCAUGAUCGACCACGCGAGCGCAGUGAUUGGCUGCCACGCGCGAGCGUCGCGCGCAUCCUGGCAAGGAAGGAGUACAAGUGCCAUCGAUCCUGAUACUGAAAUUCCUGAAUCCAGUAAAUCACACUCUUCUUAGGGCUAUUAACAACAUUAGGGCAAAGAGCAACUUGCAAUGACUUGCAACCGGCCCGGUAAGCCAUAAAGGAAGCGAGCGAGAAAGAGAGAGAGAGAGAGAGAGAGAGGCGACCGGGGAGCAGCUGUCGUAAGACGACUGAGAGGACGACGACGAGAAGAUCCUUCUUAACGAGGCGGAAAGAUUAAUAAAAGAUUCUAUUGGAAAAUCGAAAGUACAGGAAAGUUAAGGAGGAUAAAGAGGAUUGUUUAAUAGUAGGCGAUUUAAUCCACAUCAUACAUCAUGGAACUGCAAAUACAUUGAUAGUAAUAAAGAGUACUUAUUGAGUGCAAUGUUUAAUAAAAGGAUUCAUCAAUAACGAGUAAGGGGAUGAUGCAUGGAAAUCAGACCAUUUUCCUAUUUUGUUAUCUUUGAGUAAUGAAACUCAUUUAUACAAAAAACGAUCCAAUAGAAUUACUAACAAAAAGACAGCUUGGUUACAAUAUGCAGCUUUAAUGGAUAAAUCUUUUUGGGAUCAGAAUCCUGGAGUGAUGGAGUAUUUGUAUGAUAUGGAACAAGCAUACCAAGAUCAUCACGAGGGAUCAGUUCGCAGCAGUCGCAGAGGUCAAGCAUCAUUUGCCGCGGUUACGACUUGGAUGGAUGACCGCUUGGAAAUUUCUAAAGAAAAAUUCCUUUCUCGGGAUUUUUUUCGUUGCAAAAAAUGUUUUUAAAAUGUUACAAAAAUAUUGUUUUGUUUAUUAGGAUUAUGUAAUGAUAUAAUACCUAUUUUCAUCAGGCAUAGAUCGGAUUUAAUCGGACUUGAAUCUUUCUGCUGACUUUGGAUUAUGAUGGAUUUAAUCGGAUGCGAUUCCUUAUUCAUAGAUUUACUCGGUAUAAAACUGACUCUUUUGAGUACAGAUUUCGGACUAAAAUAGAUUCAAGCAGAAAUUUUCCUAUCCAAUACUUUCACCAGGAUUGGUAUUAAUACAUUUAUUGUUUACAAAUGGUUCGAAAUCUCCACAAGCUCAAUCAUUAGGUGCGGAUAUAGUUAUUGAAGAACAGAACGAGGGUUAUUGUUUAAGUCUACCUAAACAAAGUUCUAUAUUUACUGCAGAGUCAAUAGCAAUCUCUUUUGUUUAAAAAUUGUCGAGAAUAAAAUAGAUACUUUUGAUAGAUACUUAAUUGUUAUUUUUACUAAUGCUAAAUCUGUCCUUUAAGCCAUUGCUAAUAAUGUUAUAAGUGUUUAUCAUAAUAAAUAUGUUCUUAAAAUUAAAAAAUUACAUACCGUUUGUUUUCUGUUCCUGAACUCCCUGAAUUA